This 735-nucleotide ribosomal RNA is filed under the name uncultured Fusobacterium sp. RNAcentral describes it as "bacterial SSU rRNA". It matches the Rfam family "Bacterial small subunit ribosomal RNA", at positions 28 to 776 of the family's 1533-position model. The record is from RNAcentral. Lineage: Bacteria; Fusobacteriati; Fusobacteriota; Fusobacteriia; Fusobacteriales; Fusobacteriaceae.
GAUGAACGCUGACAGAAUGCUUAACACAUGCAAGUCAACUUGAAUUUGGGUUUUUAACUUAGGUUUGGGUGGCGGACGGGUGAGUAACGCGUAAAGAACUUGCCUCACAGCUAGGGACAACAUUUGGAAACGAAUGCUAAUACCUAAUAUUAUGAUAAUAGGGCAUCCUAUAAUUAUGAAAGCUAUAAGCGCUGUGAGAGAGCUUUGCGUCCCAUUAGCUAGUUGGAGAGGUAACGGCUCACCAAGGCGAUGAUGGGUAGCCGGCCUGAGAGGGUGAUCGGCCACAAGGGGACUGAGACACGGCCCUUACUCCUACGGGAGGCAGCAGUGGGGAAUAUUGGACAAUGGACCAAGAGUCUGAUCCAGCAAUUCUGUGUGCACGAUGAAGUUUUUCGGAAUGUAAAGUGCUUUCAGUUGGGAAGAAAGAAAUGACGGUACCAACAGAAGAAGUGACGGCUAAAUACGUGCCAGCAGCCGCGGUAAUACGUAUGUCACGAGCGUUAUCCGGAUUUAUGGGGCGUAAAGCGCGUCUAGGUGGUUAUAUAAGUCUGAUGUGAAAAUGCAGGGCUCAACUCUGUAUUGCGUUGGAAACUGUAUAACUAGAGUACUGGAGAGGUAAGCGGAACUACAAGUGUAGAGGUGAAAUUCGUAGAUAUUUGUAGGAAUGCCGAUGGGGAAGCCAGCUUACUGGACAGAUACUGACGCUGAAGCGCGAAAGCGUGGGUAGCAAACAGG